RNAcentral lists this ribosomal RNA (484 nucleotides) under uncultured bacterium. RNAcentral's name for it is "bacterial SSU rRNA". It matches the Rfam family "Bacterial small subunit ribosomal RNA", at positions 36 to 518 of the family's 1533-position model. The record is from RNAcentral.
CUAGCUACAGGCUUAACACAUGCAAGCGAGGGUAGCAGGGUAGCAAUACCGCUGACGACCGGCGCACGGGUGAGUAACACGUACUCCAACCUUCCCAUAACUCAGGGAUAGCCUUUCGAAAGAAAGAUUAAUACCUGAUAGUACUUUUUCAAGGCAUCUUGAGAAAGUUAAAGAUUUAUUGGUUAUGGAUGGGGAUGCGUUCCAUUAGAUAGUUGGUGAGGUAACGGCUCACCAAGUCUUCGAUGGAUAGGGGUUCUGAGAGGAAGGUCCCCCACAUUGGUACUGAGACACGGACCAAACUCCUACGGGAGGCAGCAGUGAGGAAUAUUGGUCAAUGGGCGAGAGCCUGAACCAGCCAAGUAGCGUGAAGGAUGAAGGUCCUAUGGAUUGUAAACUUCUUUUAUAGUAGAAUAAAGUGAUCCACGUGUGGAUUUUUGUAUGUAUACUAUGAAUAAGGAUCGGCUAACUCCGUGCCAGCAGCGGC